Gadus morhua (Atlantic cod) is the source of this 675-nucleotide long non-coding RNA. RefSeq lists it as uncharacterized. The transcript has 2 exons. NCBI's taxonomy places the organism in Eukaryota, Metazoa, Chordata, Actinopteri, Gadiformes, Gadidae. The record is from RefSeq and is a predicted model, not a curated record.
CUGCAGCAGGUUCCUGCUGUAACAGCUCAGUGUCUACGCAGUGUGACUGAGGGAGGUUUUUGUACGGCUCUCAAUCACUGUGUGAACACAUAGACACUGUUAGGAAUGUGGAGACUCUGACAGUGAUAAACUGCUGCAUCUUCACGCUGGGCGCCGUUGAUGUGGGAGUGGUGCAGCCCACGCUGAGCGUCCUCCCUCCCUCCAGAGUGGAGCUGGAGCAGGGCAGUGCUACACUAGUGUGUGUGGCCAGUGGGGGCUUCCCCUCAGACUGGAAGCUUGGCUGGAAAGUGGGGGGCAGCAGCAGGUCUGGGGGGGUGUCAGAUAGCCUGGGGGUCCUGGGGAAAGAUGGCCACUACAUCUGGAGCAGCACCUUGACCCUCCCUGCAGACCAGUGGAGGAAGGCGGGCUCAGUGAGCUGUGAGGCCAGUAAGAACGGCCAGACGCAGCCUGUCACUCAAACCCUGAAUCCUGGAGAGUGUUCAGAGUAGAGAGGCUCCAGCAUGGAGGUACUGGAGGAUACAGAUCUCCUCUGACACGUCUGCUUUAUGUCUCUCUGUCUCAGGUGGCACUGUAGCUUUUGAUGAUUAACAUUAAUAUAACAUCAUCCUUUCUGGUUUUUACCCCUUGGUUGUGUUGGUCUCAUGUUGAACAUUUAAUAAAGAUGUAAAGAAUAUA